Long non-coding RNA from Tachysurus vachellii, 314 nucleotides. RefSeq lists it as uncharacterized. NCBI's taxonomy places the organism in Eukaryota, Metazoa, Chordata, Actinopteri, Siluriformes, Bagridae. The transcript has 3 exons. The record is from RefSeq and is a predicted model, not a curated record.
GUUUGUGAGUUUGCGUACUGUGUGUCAUACCCGUCCGUUUGUUCUGUUCUGUCACUAUUUGUGUAUAUUGUGGGUGACUCGUUUUCCGGUUAGAGGGGAAAAGUGGACAGGAGGGUUUGCUCAUCCUGGGAGCUCGAGAAGCCAUCUUUGCCCUGGAACUCAAGAACAUCACACACAAGGAGGCUAUGGAACAGGUAUGCUAUUAUGCAAAGCCCUGAUCUGCAACUCAUCCUGAUCUGCAACAAAACAACAAGAAGUUUGGAAUGGAAAGUGUACAUUUGAUCCUUUCCAGAGAUGCGCCUCUGAAUUUGUCG